GGUCAAGCUAGAAAGGGCGCAGGGCGAAUGCCUUGGCACUGGGAGCCGAUGAAGGACGUGGUAAGCUGCGAAAAGCUUCGGGGAGGCGCAAACAGCCAUUGAUCCGGAGAUAUCCGAAUGGGGAAACCCACACGGGGUCAUGCCCGUGUAACAUACACUGAAUCCAUAGGUGUAUGUGGGGAACCGCCUGAACUGAAACAUCUAAGUAGGGCGAGGAAAAGACAUCAACCGAGAUUCCGUAAGUAGUGGCGAGCGAACGCGGAAGAGGCCAAACCAAGGGUAGAAAUACCUUUGGGGUUCGGACCGCAUUUAGGAUCUGUGAGUUUUAACCGAAGUGUGUGGGAAAGCACACCGAAGAGGGUGAGAGUCCCGUAGGUGAAAAGACAAGCAGCCGAGCGGUAUCCAGAGUACGGCCGGACACGUGAAACCCGGCCGGAACAUGGGGGGACCACCCUCCAAGCCUAAAUACUACCCAGUGACCGAUAGCGUAUAGUACCGUGAGGGAAAGGUGAAAAGUACCCCGGGAGGGGAGUGAAAUAGUACCUGAAACCCUGUGCCUACAAGCACCGAGAGCGCGUCAACGCGUGAUCGGGUACUUUUUGUAGAACGGUCCGGCGAGCGAAUGUAUGCAGCGAGGUUAAGGUAUUCAGUACCGGAGCCACAGCGAGAGCGAGUCUGAACAGGGCGAAUUUAGUUGCAUGCAUUGAGCCCGAAACCGGGUGACCUAUCCAUGGUCAGGUUGAAGUGGAGGUAAGACUCCAUGGAGGACCGAACCGACCUCCGUUGAAAAGGCGGCGGAUGAACUGUGGAUAGCGGAGAAAUUCUAAUCGAACCCGGAGAUAGCUGGUUCUCCCCGAAAUAGUUUUAGGACUAGCCUCGUGUUAGAUUACCGCAGGUAAAGCACUGAAUGGUCGCGGGCCCGAGAGGGUACCAACACCUAUCAAACUCUGAAUGGCGGAUAAUUGAUGCACGGGAGUCACACAGUGUGAGAUAAGUCUCAUUGUGGAGAGGGAAACAGCCCAGACCUACAGCUAAGGUCCCAAAGCAUGGUUAAGUGGAAAAGGAUGUGGAGUUGCGCAGACAACCAGGAUGUUGGCUC
This 1099-nucleotide ribosomal RNA is filed under the name Ruminococcaceae bacterium OttesenSCG-928-D13. RNAcentral describes it as "partial 23S ribosomal RNA". It matches the Rfam family "Bacterial large subunit ribosomal RNA", at positions 1 to 1107 of the family's 2925-position model. Lineage: Bacteria; Bacillati; Bacillota; Clostridia; Eubacteriales; Oscillospiraceae. The record is from RNAcentral.